Small nuclear RNA from Equus caballus (horse), 182 nucleotides. Its record names the gene U2. It matches the Rfam family "U2 spliceosomal RNA". Rfam says of the family: U2 is a small nuclear RNA (snRNA) component of the spliceosome (involved in pre-mRNA splicing). Complementary binding between U2 snRNA (in an area lying towards the 5' end but 3' to hairpin I) and the branchpoint sequence (BPS) of the intron results the bulging out of an unpaired adenosine, on the BPS, which initiates a nucleophilic attack at the intronic 5' splice site, thus starting the first of two transesterification reactions that mediate splicing. The record is from Ensembl. NCBI's taxonomy places the organism in Eukaryota, Metazoa, Chordata, Mammalia, Perissodactyla, Equidae.
AUCACUUCUCGGCCUUUCCACUAAGAUCAAGUGUAGUAUCUUUUCUUAUCAGUUUAAUAAUGUAAUAUAAUAUAGUGGAAAUAAAUGUUAAUAAUUUGGUUAUCAUUUAUUUAUAAAACUAUGAAAAACAUAGUUUUGAUACUGUUACUGCCUUCCAGGUUAACUGUUUGAAUCUCACUAUU